Molecule: long non-coding RNA, 375 nt
Organism: Dermacentor andersoni
Lineage: Eukaryota; Metazoa; Arthropoda; Arachnida; Ixodida; Ixodidae
Source: RefSeq, a predicted model, not a curated record
GGUAUGGACGCAUACGCUGAGGCUGUGUACCCCUGCGUCGCCAAAAUGGCCCCGCUGUUAACAACAAAGUUAAAUCCGGAGUAUAUCGACACCAACGUCACAAAUCCUGGGGGAAUUUUUCAAGAUGGAGUGGACUGCGCGGCUAAGCACAAGGUAUUCACCGACGACGUCGCUAUCGCCUUGGCUGGGAUCAAAUUGAUCCGCGAUAGUAUUUUCUGAAGCUUCCGGCACUGCUCACGCUGUGUUUAGAGUUGCGAUGGCUGAGAAUCAUAGUGUGAGCUAUCGUCGUUUUUGAAUUAAUAAAAAGAUCUUGAAAUGAUAAAAAAAUGUGUUUCAGCAUGCGUCGCUGUACGCGCGCUCUAUAGGAAUUAAAGC